Molecule: small nuclear RNA, 340 nt
Filed under: Oryctolagus cuniculus (rabbit)
Lineage: Eukaryota; Metazoa; Chordata; Mammalia; Lagomorpha; Leporidae
Description: 7SK RNA
Rfam family: 7SK RNA (bases 1-300)
About the family: 7SK was discovered as an abundant small nuclear RNA in the mid-70s but a possible function has only recently been suggested.
Source: Rfam by way of RNAcentral
GGAUGUGAGGGCGAUCUGGCUGCGACAUCUGUCACCCCAUUGAUCGCCAGGGUUGAUUCGGCUGAUCUGGCUGGCUAGGCGGGUGUCCCCUUCCUCCCUCACCGCUCCAUGUGCGUCCCUCCCGAAGCUGCGCGCUCGGUCGAAGAGGACGACCAUCCCCGCUAGAGGAGGACCGGUCUUCGGUCAAGGGUAUACGAGUAGCUGCGCUCCCCUGCUAGAACCUCCAAACAAGCUCUCAAAAGAUCACACAGCCAGGAGAAAAUAAUUCAGCCAUGAUUUAACUCACUUCAAUUCAAGCAUCAGAAGAAAAGGAAAAGAAAGAAUAUCCCCUGCAUCUAUU